AUACGUGUGGUGAAAUGGUAUCAUGCUUGCCUUCCAAGCAAGCGGCUCGAGUUCGAUUCCCGGCGUGUGUA
This 71-nucleotide transfer RNA is filed under the name Sphaerobolus stellatus SS14. Its description in RNAcentral is "tRNA-Gly (TCC) (tRNA-Gly-TCC-10-1)". It matches the Rfam family "tRNA". Rfam says of the family: Transfer RNA (tRNA) molecules are approximately 80 nucleotides in length. Lineage: Eukaryota; Fungi; Basidiomycota; Agaricomycetes; Geastrales; Sphaerobolaceae. The record is from RNAcentral.